Molecule: unclassified non-coding RNA, 345 nt
Filed under: soil metagenome
Description: partial contains 5.8S ribosomal RNA, internal transcribed spacer 2, and large subunit ribosomal RNA
Rfam family: 5.8S ribosomal RNA (bases 1-119)
Source: RNAcentral
GAUGAAGAACGCAGCGAAAUGCGAUACGUAAUGUGAAUUGCAAAUUCAGUGAAUCAUCGAGUCUUUGAACGCACAUUGCGCCCCCUGGUAUUCCGGGGGGCAUGCCUGUCCGAGCGUCAUUGCUGCCCUCAAGCGCGGCUUGUGUGUUGGGCCCCGUCCUCCGAUCCCGGGGGACGGGCCCGAAAGGCAGCGGCGGCACCGCGUCCGGUCCUCGAGCGUAUGGGGCUUUGUCACCCGCUCUGUAGGCCCGGCCGGCGCUUGCCGAUCAACCCAAAUUUUUAUCCAGGUUGACCUCGGAUCAGGUAGGGAUACCCGCUGAACUUAAGCAUAUCAAUAAGCGGAGGA